AGCGUGCACGGUGGAUGCCUUGGCAGUCAGAGGCGAUGAAGGACGUGGAAGUCUGCGAAAAGCGUGGGGGAGUUGACAACAAGCGUUGAGCCCACGAUGUCCGAAUGGGGAAACCCACCUGUUUUUAACAGGUAUCUUAUGCUGAAUACAUAGGCAUACAGAGGCGAACCGGGAGAACUGAAACAUCUAAGUACCCCGAGGAAAAGAAAUCAAUUGAGAUUCCGGCAGUAGCGGCGAGCGACCCCGGAUUAGCCCUUAAGCUUUAUUGGUGUUAGUGGAAGGCUCUGGAAAGUGCCACGAUACAGGGUGAUAGUCCCGUACACGACAAUGCCUUUAAAGUGAAAUCGAGUAGGACGGCACACGUGAAAUGCUGUUUGAAUAUGGGGGGACCAUCCUCCAAGGCUAAAUACUCCUGACUGACCGAUAGUGAACCAGUACCGUGAGGGAAAGGCGAAAAGAACCCCUGUGAGGGGAGUGAAAUAGAACCUGAAACCGUGUACGUACAAGCAGUGGGAGCGGACUUGUUCCGUGACUGCGUACCUUUUGUAUAAUGGGUCAGCGACUUAAUUUUAGUAGCAAGGUUAACCGUAUAGGGGAGCCGUAGGGAAACCGAGUCUUAACUGGGCGAAUGAGUUGCUAGGAUUAGACCCGAAACCCGGUGAUCUAGCCAUGGGCAGGUUGAAGGUGCCGUAACAGGUACUGGAGGACCGAACCGACUAAUGUUGAAAAAUUAGCGGAUGACUUGUGGCUGGGGGUGAAAGGCCAAUCAAACCGGGAGAUAGCUGGUUCUCCUCGAAAGCUAUUUAGGUAGCGCCUCGUGUCUCACCAUUGGGGGUAGAGCACUGUUUCGGCUAGGGGGUCAUCCCGACUUACCAACCCGAUGCAAACUCCGAAUACCAAUGAGUGCAAUCACGGGAGACACACGGCGGGUGCUAACGUCCGUCGUGGAAAGGGAAACAACCCAGACCGUCAGCUAAGGUCCCAAAGUGUAUGUUAAGUGGGAAACGAUGUGGAAAGGCUCAGACAGCCAGGAAGUUGGCUUAGAAGCAGCCAUCUUUUAAAGAAAGCGUAAUAGCUCACUGGUCGAGUCGGUCUGCGCGGAAGAUGUAACGGGGCUAAGCUAGUCACCGAAGCUACGGAUGCACACUUGUGUGCAUGGUAGAGGAGCGUUCUGUAAGCCGUUGAAGGGAAAGCUGUAAGGCAUCCUGGAGGUAUCAGAAGUGCGAAUGCUGACAUGAGUAACGAUAAGGGGAGUGAAAAACUCCCCCGCCGGAAGACCAAGGGUUCCUGUCCAACGUUAAUCGGGGCAGGGUGAGUCGACCCCUAAGGCGAGGCAGAAAUGCGUAGUCGAUGGGAAACGGGUUAAUAUUCCCGUACCGGAUGUUAUUGCGAUGGGGGGACGGAGAAGGCUAGGUGGGCCAGGCGACGGUUGUCCUGGUUCAAGUGCGUAGGCGGUUAUCUUAGGAAAAUCCGGGAUUACAUUAACGCUGAGACACGAUGUCGAGUCACUAAGGUGAUGAAGUCAUUGAUGCCAUACUUCCAGGAAAAGCCUCUAAGCUUCAGAUAACAUCGGAUCGUACCCCAAACCGACACAGGUGGUCGGGUAGAGAAUACCAAGGCGCUUGAGAGAACUCGGGUGAAGGAACUAGGCAAAAUGGUACCGUAACUUCGGGAGAAGGUACGCCGGUGUUGGUGAUGGGACUUGCUCCCUAAGCUGAUGCCGGUCGAAGAUACCAGGUGGCUGCAACUGUUUAUUAAAAACACAGCACUGUGCAAAAUCGCAAGAUGACGUAUACGGUGUGACGCCUGCCCGGUGCCGGAAGGUUAAUUGAUGGGGUUAUCUUCGGAGAAGCUCUUGAUCGAAGCCCCGGUAAACGGCGGCCGUAACUAUAACGGUCCUAAGGUAGCGAAAUUCCUUGUCGGGUAAGUUCCGACCUGCACGAAUGGCGUAAUGAUGGCCACGCUGUCUCCACCCGAGACUCAGUGAAAUUGAAUUUGCGGUGAAGAUGCCGUAUACCCGCGGCUAGACGGAAAGACCCCGUGAACCUUUACUAUAGCUUGGCACUGAACAUUGAACCUACAUGUGUAGGAUAGGUGGGAGACUUUGAAGCAGGAACGCUAGUUCUUGUGGAGUCGUCCUUGAAAUACCACCCUUGUAGU
This 2160-nucleotide ribosomal RNA is filed under the name marine metagenome. RNAcentral's name for it is "bacterial LSU rRNA". It matches the Rfam family "Bacterial large subunit ribosomal RNA", at positions 14 to 2212 of the family's 2925-position model. The record is from RNAcentral.